CUAGUUUUUGCCUUAAGGAAGGCCUCAUUCAAGAUUCAAAUAGAGUCUCCAGUAGGCUUCACUUAAUAGUCUCUGUAUUUCAGCUAUUCUCAAACUCACAGGAGGUUGCAGAGUAGCUGAUGAAGCUCCGUAAUUCACUCCUUAUACUACCACAUAUAGAAAGGAGAGACAGCCUCUCUCCUAGAAAAGCCAAUCAAACACCUGAUUUGUUUGGUUAUGAGUGAUGAGUGCUCCCCUGAACUGAGCCACGAGUCAAUAUGUUGAUAGAGUUAACCUGGUCAUGUUUCUCACCAAAGAGCUGGAGGUGCAGUUCCCCUAUCAGACCGAUUGGUUGAGGUGUGAGGGAUGAAGGAUGAUGGAUGCCCCAAGAAGUGCAGAACGAUGGCAGAAAGGGCGAAACGCAAGUGUUCACAUUAAUACAAUUCCUUUUGAUGACUUGUGACCUGAGCCAAGAGAACCACAAAUCAUUGGAAACUGCUGUCUUUAGACUGAAGCCCAUUAUAUAUUGUGAUUAUGUAGCCCAUUAAAUUCACAGUGUCAUCAAGAAGGGGAAUUGGGCACAGAACAGAGACGGCACCUGCAGUAGAACUACCAGAUGCAGCUAUUUCUGGUCAUCAAAAU
This 621-nucleotide long non-coding RNA is filed under the name Fukomys damarensis (Damara mole-rat). Its description in RNAcentral is "lncRNA (ENSFDAG00000026224.1)". The record is from RNAcentral. Lineage: Eukaryota; Metazoa; Chordata; Mammalia; Rodentia; Bathyergidae.